RNAcentral lists this ribosomal RNA (440 nucleotides) under uncultured bacterium. RNAcentral's name for it is "partial 16S ribosomal RNA". It matches the Rfam family "Bacterial small subunit ribosomal RNA", at positions 338 to 795 of the family's 1533-position model. The record is from RNAcentral.
CCUACGGGGGGCUGCAGUGGGGAAUAUUGCACAAUGGGGGAAACCCUGAUGCAGCGACGCCGCGUGAGUGAGGAAGUAUUUCGGUAUGUAAAGCUCUAUCAGCAGGGAAGAAAAUGACGGUACCUGACUAAGAAGCCCCGGCUAACUACGUGCCAGCAGCCGCGGUAAUACGUAGGGGGCAAGCGUUAUCCGGAUUUACUGGGUGGAAAGGGAGCGUAGACGGUUAAUCAAGUCAGAAGUGAAAACCCAGGGAGCAACCUUGGGACUGCUUUUGAAACUGAGUAGCGAGAGUGCAGGAGAGGUAAGCGGAAUUCCUAGGGUAGCGGUGAAAUGCGUAGAUAUUAGGAGGAACACCAGGGGCGAAGGCGGCUGACUGGACUGUAACUGACGUUGAGGCUCGAAAGCGUGGGGAGCAAACAGGAUUAGAUACCCCUGUAGUC